RNAcentral lists this ribosomal RNA (422 nucleotides) under uncultured bacterium. RNAcentral describes it as "bacterial SSU rRNA". It matches the Rfam family "Bacterial small subunit ribosomal RNA", at positions 32 to 434 of the family's 1533-position model. The record is from RNAcentral.
AAUCAACGCUGGCGGCGUGCCUCAGACAUGCAAGUCGAACGCGAAAGUCCCCUUCGGGGGACAAGUAGAGUGGCGCACGGGUGAGUAACACGUAGGUAAUCUACCUUCGGAUGGGGAAUAACAACCGGAAACGGUUGCUAAUACCGCAUAAUGCAGCGGCACCUAAUGGUGACAGUUGUUAAAGCGGGGGAUUGAAAGACCUCGCGUCUGAAGAGGAGCCUGCGGCGGAUUAGCUUGNGGUAGGGUAACGGCCUACCAAGGCGACGAUCCGUAGCCGGCCUGAGAGGGCGGUCGGCCACACUGACACUGACAUACGGGUCAGACUCCUACGGGAGGCAGCAGUCGGGAAUUUUGGGCAAUGGGCGAAAGCCUGACCCAGCAACGCCGCGUGAAGGAUGAAAUCCCUCGGGAUGUAAACUUCG